UUCGGUUGUAAAGUUACUUUCAGCAGUGAGGAAGGUGGUAGUGUUAAUAGCAUAUUCUAUUUGUACGUUAGCUGCAGAAGAAGACACCGGCUAACUCCGUCGCCAGCAGCCGCGGUAAGUACGGAGGGUGGCGAGACGUUAAGUACGGUAAUUACGUGGGACGUAAAGCGCAUGCAGGUGGUUUGUUAAGUCAGAUGUAGAAAGGACCCGGGGCGUCAACCUACCGGAAUAGACUAUUUAGUAAACGUAGGCAGACUAGAGUACUGUAGAGGGGGGUAGGAAUUUCAGGUGUAGCGGUGAAAUGCGUAGAGAUCUGAAGGAAUACCGGUGGCGAAGGCGGCCCCCUGGACAGAUACUGACACUCAGAUGCGAAAGCGUGGGGAGCAAACAGGAUUAGAUACCCUGGUAG
RNAcentral lists this ribosomal RNA (409 nucleotides) under uncultured bacterium. RNAcentral's name for it is "bacterial SSU rRNA". It matches the Rfam family "Bacterial small subunit ribosomal RNA", at positions 418 to 793 of the family's 1533-position model. The record is from RNAcentral.